Molecule: non-coding RNA, 58 nt
Organism: Aedes albopictus (Asian tiger mosquito)
Lineage: Eukaryota; Metazoa; Arthropoda; Insecta; Diptera; Culicidae
Source: Rfam
UAGCCUAGUGGUUAAGGCUAUGGAUCGCCAAUCCGAAGACGGCGGGUUUGAUUCCCGU